Cyprinodon tularosa is the source of this 892-nucleotide long non-coding RNA. RefSeq lists it as uncharacterized. Lineage: Eukaryota; Metazoa; Chordata; Actinopteri; Cyprinodontiformes; Cyprinodontidae. The record is from RefSeq and is a predicted model, not a curated record. The transcript has 3 exons.
AACGCAUUUCUAAAAUGAUUUAGGUUCAACAAACUAAUUAUCAUGCAGUAGAAUUGCAUCUUCUCCUGUUCGAGUCUAUUUCCUCCUUUUUGAUCAGGUCUUUGUUCUUAACAUGUUUUCUACUGCAGGACAGAAAGUGAAAACUAAGUGAGGUGAGCGCAGCAAAGCAGGAUCAGCUGAUGAGCGAAACAAAGAAGCGGCUCUGGUGCGUCUCUGGUCACCGCGAACAGGAAGAGGUGUCCAGACAAAAGCUUCACUGUCCUCAUCUGUUAGAAUAGACACUAAAAAGCAUUCAUCUUUUCUCCACAUCUAAAAUAUUUCAUCUUGGGAACCCCUUUUUCCAAUACGCUUAUUAGACUGUGUUUUAUUUAUUUUUUUCGCAAGCCAACAACAACCCAACAAAAGAGCUCGACGCAACAGAAGCGCAACAGUGUGGCUGAGCUGCUUUUACUGUUUCUGCAUUGUGACAGUGAACCCAACACGGCACCAAAACCCAAAUCUUCCUCACAGAUGCAAUAAUAAAAACAUUGUUGAGCUGGAGUUGGAUCUACUCACCACCUGAGACAGAUCAAAGCGCAGCUCGGGGUAAACCAGUGAUUGUCUUCGUCCCAGGGUCUGGUCCACGUGUGAUGCUGCCAGACUGGCCUCGUUACUUUGGAGAGGUGGACGUCACCACGUGGGAGGAGAAAGGCUCUGAUUGACAGCCAAAUUAACCAAUGGACGACUGUGUAGCCUUUAUGGACCCGUAGGACAAAAGGCAAUUUUCUUUUACAAAAUAAGAGUUCUCGACCUUAAUUUUUAUAAGACCCUAAAACAGAUUGGAGAAUAAGAUUUGGGGUUUAGAAUAACUGUUUUUGAACAAAUAAAACUUUGAAUGUAUUUACAGUUGCAA